This 406-nucleotide ribosomal RNA is filed under the name uncultured bacterium. RNAcentral describes it as "partial 16S ribosomal RNA". It matches the Rfam family "Bacterial small subunit ribosomal RNA", at positions 30 to 526 of the family's 1533-position model. The record is from RNAcentral.
AUUGAACGCUGGCGGCAGGCCUAACACAUGCAAGUCGAGCGAGCGGCGGACGGGUGAGUAAUGUCUGGGAAACUGCUUGAUGGAGGGGGAUAACUACAGGAAACGGUAGUUAAUACCGCAUCCAAUCAGGUGUGGGCAGGUGGGACUAGCUAGUAGGUGGGGUAAUGGCUCACCUAGGCGACGAUCCCUAGCUGGUCUGAGAGGAUGAUCAGCCACACUGGAACUGAGACACGGUCCAGACUCCUACGGGAGGCAGCAGUGGGGAAUAUUGCACAAUGGGCGAAAGCCUGAGGCAGCCAUGCCGCGUGUGUGAAGAAGGCCUUCGGGUUGUAAAGCACUUUCAGCGGGGAGGCGUUACCCGCAGAAGAAGCACCGGCUAACUCCGUGCCAGCAGCCGCGGUAAUAC